RNAcentral lists this long non-coding RNA (2341 nucleotides) under Homo sapiens (human). Its description in RNAcentral is "HSALNT0303971". Lineage: Eukaryota; Metazoa; Chordata; Mammalia; Primates; Hominidae. The record is from RNAcentral.
AGAACUCUGGGUUCUCUGGAAGUGGUGGGAGGAAACCCGCAGGAGGGAAGAGGCCAUCUCUCCUUUAACUCCUAGGGGAACAGACCGCAGGGGCUGAGGGUGCUAGCCCUUUCUGAAGCUGAGAGGGAGCCGGAAAGGAAGGGACUCAGGGGAUCUCAUGGGAGCCAGAAGGGCCCAGACUUAGGAUCCGAAAUUGUGCCUAUGAGAGUGAGUCAGUGUCUUGGUCUGUCACCCGGGCUGGAGUGCAGUGGUGCAAUCAUAGCUCGCUGCAGCCUCGACCUCCUAGGUUUAAGUGAUCCUCCUGCCUCAGCCUCCUGAGCAGCUGGGACUACAGGUAUGCACCACGCUGUCUGGUUAAUUUUAAAAUUUUUUGUGGAGAUGAAAUCUUGCUAUGCUGCCCAGGCUGGUCUUGAACUCCCGACCUCAAGCAAUUCUCCUGCCUCGGCCUCCCAAGUUGCUUGGAUUACAGGUGUGAGCCAUUGUGUCUGGCCAGUGACUCACUUCUGAAGACAGAAUACAGGGGAAGUGAUGGUAUGUGACUUCAGAGAUCAGAUCAUAAAUGGCAUUGUAGCUUCUGCCUUGUUUUCUCUCUUGUGUCAUUCACUCUGGGGAAAGUCAGCUGACACUCGUGAGGAUGCUCAAGUGGCCUUGUGGAGAGGCCCACGUGGUGAUGGGCUGAGGCCUCUCUCCAGCAGCCUCAAGUGGGCACCAUCUUGGAAGCAGACCCUUUCAACCCAGGCAAGCCUUUGGAGGACUGUAGUCCUGGCUGACGUCUUGACUGCAAUCUCAUGGGAAUCCCUGAGCCAGAACCAUUCAACUAAGUCACUCUUAAUUAUAAUUCUUGACCUGCAGAAACAGAGAAAAAAAAUAAAAGUUUAUUGUUUUAGGCAGCUAAGUUUUGGGGCAGUUUGUUACACAGCAAUUGAUAAUGAAUACACAUACCACCCUAAAAUAUAAUCUUUCAGAGUCAAUGACAUCCACAAACUCGAGUAUAGUGGGAGAAUAUGAAUGAAAAGAAUAGAAGGUGUAGCAACAUAUUCCUUCUAAGGAAGAGUAAGGCUGGAGGGGUAGGAAAAUUACUCUCCACUAAUCCUUUCUGUUUAUGGAGACUGGUGGGGAAUGGAGAAAAGAAAGAUGCAAGCUUCAAGGCGCCUGGCAGUUUUUCACUCCGCUGAUGCUUACAGCCUAGAGUAGAUGGCUUUUGUCUUAGCAGAGCUCAGGAAGCAGACCUGAUACUGAGGAAUGGUGGAGAAACAGGACUGAGCAACUUUUAAGAAUCAUGUGUCUAAUGUGUAAUAAUAUCAUUUGUGUUGGUGUGUGACAAAACUCUCCUGGUAACUUCUAAGCCUCCUGUGAAGUCCACUGCACACACAGAGGCCUUGAGGAGCCCUAAAAAGGGGGUCAGGUUUCCAGCAUGGGUCCAUGCUGAACUGGGGGUGGGGAUUGAGUAAGGAGAGGCCCAUGUGAGGCUGGGGGCUGAGUGGAAGCUGGAGCUCAGAGCCAGAGAGAGCAGGGAGCUCCUUAUGCAGCCGCAUGGGUCAGGGGAGGUCAGGACACAGAAGCCAUUCUGCAUCUUGACAGCCUCAACCUGAAUCCUGGGUGUGGGGGAAGAAGUGACAGGCAUGGGAGUUCUUAGAAGUCGGCCAUGCACCUGCAUCUGAUGAAGCGCCACGUCCGUUCUUACUAACCCCUGAGAACAAUCACUUCUGCUUCCCUUCUGCCUUCCAAGUCCUGUGCAAGAUCCUCUUGUUGGCAAACUCUAACCUGGGAGCAUGAGGAAGAGGACUGCGGGGAACGGUUUCCAGCCCUACGUAGACAUGGUGGUGGUGACGUGUUGACACAUGGGGGCUCCGCUUCGGACUUCGCAAUGAAUAAGGCCAGGGAACUGCAGCUGAUGGCUGGGUCAUCCGAGAGACCUUCAAUCUUUACUUUCUAUAAUGACAGAGCAAACCAUUCUAUUUGCUAUUUACUUUCCUGAUGGUAUCUUCAAGAAACUUCUGGAAAUAGGUCUUUGUGUCAACCAGAAACUGCUGGUCAGAGGAUAAGUUCUGGAGUUUUCUUGUAGAGCAUGGAGACUGCAGUUAAUAAUAACAUAUCAUAUACUUGAAGAUUGCUGAGAGUAGAUUCUAAACAUUAUUAUUUAUUUAUUUUCUUAGUUUUUUCGCCCCACUUCAAUAAGCUAGUCGAAGACAGUAGAUUUUAAAUGUUCUCACCACAAAAAAUGGUUAAGUAUGUGGGAUGAUAAAUAUGUUUGAUUUACUCAUUCCACAGUGUGUACGUAUAUCAAAGUAUCAUGUUGUAAACUAUAAAUAAAUAUCAUUUCUUAUUUGUCAAUUAAAAG